Molecule: ribosomal RNA, 406 nt
Filed under: uncultured bacterium
Lineage: Bacteria
Description: partial 16S ribosomal RNA
Rfam family: Bacterial small subunit ribosomal RNA
Source: RNAcentral
AUUGAACGCUGGCGGCAUGCUUUACACAUGCAAGUCGGACGAGUGGCGAACGGGUGAGUAACAUAUCGGCACGUACCGAGUAAUGGGGGAUAACUAAUCGAACGAUUAGCUAAUACCGCAUAUUAUUCGAGCGGCCGAUAUCUGAUUAGCUAGUUGGUGGGGUAAAGGCCUACCAAGGCGACGAUCAGUAGCGGGUCUGAGAGGAUGAUCCGCCACGCUGGGACUGAGACACGGCCCAGAUUCCGACGGGAGGCAGCAGUGGGGAAUUUUGGACAAUGGGCGAAAGCCUGAUCCAGCCAUGCCGCGUGUCUGAAGAAGGCCUUCGGGGUGUAAAGGACGUUUGUCAGGGAAGCGGUACCUGAAGAAUAAGCACCGGCUAACUACGUGCCAGCAGCCGCGGUAAUAC